RNAcentral lists this ribosomal RNA (903 nucleotides) under Wallemia sebi. RNAcentral describes it as "LSU rRNA". It matches the Rfam family "Eukaryotic large subunit ribosomal RNA", at positions 63 to 950 of the family's 3401-position model. The record is from RNAcentral. Lineage: Eukaryota; Fungi; Basidiomycota; Wallemiomycetes; Wallemiales; Wallemiaceae.
AACUAACAAGGAUUCCCCUAGUAACGGCGAGUGAAGAGGGAAAAGCUCAAAUUUAAAAGCUGUUGUCUUUCAGGCAACCGCAUUGUAAUCUCAAGAAGUGUUUUCGAUUGUAGCCUGCGUAUAAGUACCUUGGAAUAGGUUGGCAUAGAGGGUGAAACUCCCGUCUUUGAUGCAGAUUACUAUGAUCAUGUGAUACACUUUCUAAGAGUCGAGUUGUUUGGGAAUGCAGCUCAAAAUGGGUGGUAAAUUCCAUCUAAAGCUAAAUAUUGGCCUGAGACCGAUAGCGAACAAGUACCGUGAGGGAAAGAUGAAAAGCACUUUGGAAAGAGAGUCAAACAGAACGUGAAAUUGCUGAAAGGGAAGCGUUUGAAGUUAGUCUGAUAGGAGUUGUUCAAUUGUUACUUUGGUUUCAAUGUAUGCAACUUUUUAUCGGUCAACAUCAAUUUUGAUUGAUGGAUAAAGGUAAUAGGAAUGUGGCUACAAUUUGUAGUGUUAUAGCCUAUUAUCAUAAACAUUGAUUGAGAUUGAGGACGGCAGUGUACCUUUUAGGAAGGUGUUCGCACCUAUUACACUAAGGAUGUUGACAAAAUAGCUUUAAGCGACCCGUCUUGAAACACGGACCAAGGAGUCUAACAUAUCUGCGAGUAUUUGAGUGACAAACUCGAAUGCGUAAUGAAAGUGAAUGUAGGUGUGAAGCGUAAGCUGCAACAUCGACCGAUCUGGAAUUUUUAUAAUGAUGGAUUUGAGUAAGAGCAUAUAUGUUGGGACCCGAAAGAUGGUGAACUAUGCCUGAAUAGGGUGAAGCCAGAGGAAACUCUGGUGGAGGCUCGUAGCGGUUCUGACGUGCAAAUCGAUCGUCAAAUUUGGGUAUAGGGGCGAAAGACUAAUCGAACCAUCUAGUAG